GACGAACGCUGGCGGCGUGCUUAACACAUGCAAGUCGAACGGCAAGGCCCUGCUUUUGUGGGGUGCUCGAGUGGCGAACGGGUGCGUAACACGUGAGUAACCUGCCCUUGACUUUGGGAUAACUUCAGGAAACUGGGGCUAAUCCCGUAUAGGAGCUCCUGCUGCAUGGUGGGGGUUGGAAAGUUUCGGCGGUUGGGGAUGGACUCGCGGCUUAUCAGCUUGUUGGUGGGGUGGUGGCUUACCAAGGCUUUGACGGGUAGCCGGCCUGAGAGGGUGACCGGCCACAUUGGGACUGAGAUACGGCCCAGACUCCUACGGGAGGCAGCAGUGGGGAAUAUUGCACAAUGGGCGGAAGCCUGAGGCAGCAACGCCGCGUGCGGGAUGACGGCCUUCGGGUUGUAAACCGCUUUCGCCUGUGACGAAGCGUGAGUGACGGUAAUGGGUAAAGAAGCACCGGCUAACUACGUG
Molecule: ribosomal RNA, 468 nt
Filed under: uncultured bacterium
Lineage: Bacteria
Description: partial 16S ribosomal RNA
Rfam family: Bacterial small subunit ribosomal RNA
Source: RNAcentral